YGRRAGAAMCASUAGACAUGAUACGCAGCUGUACGAGCUCGAUCACUAGUACGCGCAGUGUGCUGAUCGCUUAGAGUUGAUCUGCUCAGAACGACGCUGCGGCGUGCUACACAUGCAAGUCGAACGUGAUCCAGAGCUUGCUCUGUGAAAGUGGCGCACGGUGAGUAACGCGUGGAUAACCUACGUGUAUCCGGGAUAACAUCCGAAAGGGGUGCUAAUACCGGAUAAGCCCACGGGCUCUUUGGAGCUUGCGGGAAAAGGUGGCCUCUAUUUAUAAGCUACUGUAUCAGGAUGGGUCCGCGUACCAUUAGCUAGUUGGCGGUGUAACGGACCACCAAGGCGACGAUGGUUAGCUGGUCUGAGAGGAUGAUCAGCCACACUGGAACUGAGACACGGUCCAGACUCCUACGGGAGGCAGCAGUGGGGAAUUUUGCGCAAUGGGGGAAACCCUGACGCAGCAACGCCGCGUGAGUGAUGAAGGCCUUUGGGUCGUAAAGCUCUGUCAGAGGGGAAGAAAUGAUAUAGUGCUAAUACCACUUUAUCUUGACGGUACCCUCAAAGGAAGCACCGGCUAACUCCGUGCCAGCAGCCGCGGUAAUACAAGGGCSMMYYSWGMAARAUAUCCUAUCUACUACUGGCGGCCGCAUCAGUAC
RNAcentral lists this ribosomal RNA (653 nucleotides) under uncultured Geobacteraceae bacterium. RNAcentral's name for it is "bacterial SSU rRNA". The stretch from base 99 to 609 matches the Rfam family "Bacterial small subunit ribosomal RNA", at positions 39 to 535 of the family's 1533-position model. The record is from RNAcentral. Lineage: Bacteria; Pseudomonadati; Thermodesulfobacteriota; Desulfuromonadia; Geobacterales; Geobacteraceae.